ACUUAAGUCUAGGAGAACACUCAUUCCAAUCUGAAAUUUGUUAACUUCAUUGACAUUUCAUUGUCAAUUUGACAAAAGUUCAUCAAAAUCUCGCCAGGAAUAUCAAAAACAACAAAUCAUUGUGGCUAACAACAACAACAACAAAAACAACACCUUGCCAGGAAAGGACCAAAAACGUAUCUUGAUAAAUGUGGAUGCUGCCGUUGUUGCUGUUGAUUUUAUUACCCAUGGCAGGCCUGUCAAAAUUACAAAUGGACCAUAAAUAAAAACAUCAUUUUUUGCGCACAAAAUCCAACUGGCCAGCAACAACAACAAAACGCCAAAACUGUCACCGACAUGAAAAUCUCUAGAUGGAGCCAUAAGUCUCGCUCGUAUCUCGCCCGCCCUCGGAGUGAACGUCUGUUUGUUAAUGUGAUCUCGUUCAUAAAAAUAGCAGCGCGCAGAUAACUUGAGGCCAGGAUGUAGCUGCAGGGGUAGCUGCCACAAACAGACAUAAACGACUUGCAACAUUAUAAUUUGUAUGUUAAAACAUCGUAAAUUACUUAAAUGUCACUCCGUCGAA
This is a long non-coding RNA of Drosophila montana, 562 nucleotides long. RefSeq lists it as uncharacterized. Lineage: Eukaryota; Metazoa; Arthropoda; Insecta; Diptera; Drosophilidae. The record is from RefSeq and is a predicted model, not a curated record. The transcript has 2 exons.